This 468-nucleotide ribosomal RNA is filed under the name uncultured bacterium. RNAcentral describes it as "partial 16S ribosomal RNA". It matches the Rfam family "Bacterial small subunit ribosomal RNA", at positions 28 to 507 of the family's 1533-position model. The record is from RNAcentral.
GACGAACGCUGGCGGCGUGCUUAACACAUGCAAGUCGAACGGAAGGGCCCUGCUUUUGUGGGGUGCUCGAGUGGCGAACGGGUGAGUAACACGUGAGUAACCUGCCCUUGACUUUGGGAUAACUUCAGGAAACUGGGGCUAAUACCGGAUAGGAGCUCCUGCUGCAUGGUGGGGGUUGGAAAGUUUCGGCGGUUGGGGAUGGACUCGCGGCUUAUCAGCUUGUUGGUGGGGUAGUGGCUUACCAAGGCUUUGACGGGUAGCCGGCCUGAGAGGGUGACCGGCCACAUUGGGACUGAGAUACGGCCCAGACUCCUACGGGAGGCAGCAGUGGGGAAUAUUGCACAAUGGGCGGAAGCCUGAUGCAGCAACGCCGCGUGCGGGAUGACGGCCUUCGGGUUGUAAACCGCUUUCGCCUGUGACGAAGCGCGAGUGACGGUAAUGGGUAAAGAAGCACCGGCUAACUACGUG